This 65-nucleotide transfer RNA is filed under the name Camelus bactrianus (Bactrian camel). It matches the Rfam family "tRNA". Rfam says of the family: Transfer RNA (tRNA) molecules are approximately 80 nucleotides in length. Their secondary structure includes four short double-helical elements and three loops (D, anti-codon, and T loops). RNAcentral also lists the same sequence under 1 other name. Lineage: Eukaryota; Metazoa; Chordata; Mammalia; Artiodactyla; Camelidae. The record is from Rfam by way of RNAcentral.
GGUGUAGCUCAGUGUCAGAGCGUGUGCUUAGCAGGCACAAGGCCCUGAGUUCAAUCCCCAGUACC